AACAAAAUUGGAAUGCAUCUCUAUGCAACAAUGAAAGAAAAAUAGCAAUAUUAAAAAUACAUCAAAUACAACUCUAGAGGGAAGUGAAUUUUUAUUCAAGGACUUUUAAGAAUUCUGACAUUGAAAAGACAUCUUUGCUUGAGGAGGCAGCUGAAUGUGUUUCUAACUUACAGUCAAAGAUCAUUUGCAUAGAAUACCAAAAGAGCCAUUUUUUUUUUAAUUCAGAGAAAGAACAUCUAUCAGAGUUUGGCAGGAUGCAUCCUGCCAGGAUUCUUCUCUUUUCUACAGAAACUGACCAUUUGAAAAAGUCUUUCUAUGAUUGGUGCCACAAUAAAGCUCUUGUACCGGAUUCUGCAACAAAAUGUAAAUUAAUGGAAUGUGAAAAAUGGAAGGACUGCAAGGGAAAGGAUCAAAGGGAUUCCUCCCUCUUCUUUCCACAAGUGAACACCUCUCCUGUUCUAGGAGCUGGGGAUUCAGUAGUGAAUGAGACAGGCAAGGUCCCUGCUGUCAUGGAGUCUGCAUCCUAGUGUAGGUAAUAAGACAAUGAACAAAGUAAUUUUCAAAGCAAACAAAAUAGGGGGUGCUCUGGAGAGUACAUGGAGAUCUGUUGUAGAGGGUUGGUUGAGGAGGGUUUCUCUAAGAAUCAAUGCUCAGGCUGAAACUGGAAUGACCAGAUGAAGACAGCCCGGAGAAGAACUGUCAGUGCAUUCCAGGGAGGGAAGACCAAAUGCAAUGUCUUAAGAGGAGAAAAGCCUGGCAGGUUCCUGGAAUAGAAAGAAGGCGUGUGGGCCCAAUGUAUAUGAUGGAGAGAGGUAGGAAAUGAACUCAGAGAGGCUGUCAGCACACAGACCAUAUUCAACAUUGGAGUCCCCUAAGGAGUUUGGAUGUUGUCCUCAGUAUAGUCAUGGGGUGCAUAGCAAUGUUUUGGUCAAUGACAGACUUCAUGCACAACACUGGUCCCAAUAAGAUCAUAAUGGAGCUGAAAAUUCCUGUCACCUAGUGAUGUCUUUAUGAUCCUGACCCUGUGUUUCCCUAGGCUAAUGUGUGUGUUUGUGUCUUAGUUUUUAACAAAAAUGCUUAAAAAGUAAAAAAGAAACAUUUUUAAAAAUAGAAAAAACUUAUAGAAUAAGGAUAUAAAGACAACAUUUUGUACAGCUGUACAAUCUGUGUUUUAAGCUAAGUGUAACAGGAGUCAAAAAGCUUAAAAAUAUUAAAAAGUUUAUCAAGUAAAAAAGUUGUAGUAAGCUAAGGUUAAUUUAUUUUUAUUAUUAUUAUUUUGAGAUGGAGUCUUGCGCUGUCACCCAGGCUGGAGUGCAAUGGUGCAUUCUCGGCUCACUGCAACCUCUUCCUUCUGGGCUCAAGUGAUUCUCCUGCCUCAGCCUCCUGAGUAGCUGGAAUUACAGGCACGCGCCACUGUGCCCAGCUAAUUUUUGUAUUUUUAGUAGACAUGGGGUUUCACCAUGUUGCCCAGGCUGGUCUUGAACUUCUGACCUCAGGUGAUCCACCCGCCUCAGCCUCCCAAAGUGCUGGGAUUAAAAUUCCAUGAGCCAUGGCAUGAGCCACCAUGCCCAGCCUAAUUUAUUAUUGAAGAAGGAAAAUUUUUGUGUAAAUUAAGUGUAGCCUAAGUGCGCAGUGUUUAUAAAAUCUGUAGUAAUGUAUAGCAAUGUCCUAGGCCUUCACAUUCACUCACCACUCACUCACUGACUCACCCAGAACAACUUCUAGUCCUGCAAGCUCCAUUCAUGGUGCGUGCCCUAGACAGGUGUAUCAUUUUUUAUUUUUAUACCAUAUUUUUAUUACAUCUUUUAUAUGUUUAGACAUACAAAUACUUGCCAUUGUGUUACAAUUUUCUACAGUAUUCAGUACAGUAACAUGCUGUACAGGUUUGUAGCCUGGGAGCAAUAGGCUAUACCAUAUAACCUAGGUAAGUAUCAGGCUAUACCAUCUAAGUUUGUGUAAAGUACUCACUGUGAUGUUUGCACAACAAUGAAAUCAUCCAAGGACAAAUUUUUCAGAAUGUACCCGUUGUUAAGUGACGCAUGAUUUAUCUUAAAAAAACAUUGGAGACUUUUGAGUUCAAGAAUAACAUGACAUUAAUAAUUUAAGAA
This 2108-nucleotide long non-coding RNA is filed under the name Pan paniscus (pygmy chimpanzee). RNAcentral's name for it is "lncRNA (ENSPPAG00000044574.1)". The record is from RNAcentral. Lineage: Eukaryota; Metazoa; Chordata; Mammalia; Primates; Hominidae.